GAACGCUGGCGGCAGGCCUAACACAUGCAAGUCGAGCGGUACACAGAGAGCUUGCUCUCGGGUGACGAGCGGCGGACGGGGUGAGUAAUGUCUGGGAAACUGCCUGAUGGAGGGGGAUAACUACUGGAAACGGUAGCUAAUACCGCAUAACGUCGCAAGACCAAAGUGGGGGACCUUCGGGCCUCAUGCCAUCAGAUUGCCCAGAUGGGAUUAGCUAGUAGGUGGGGUAAUGGCUCACCUAGGCGACGAUCCCUAGCUGUCUGAGAGGAUGCCAGCCACACUGGAACUGAGACACGGUCCAGACUCCUACGGGAGGCAGCAGUGGGGAAUAUUGCACAAUGGGCGCAAGCCUGAUGCAGCCAUGCCGCGUGUAGAAGAAGGCCUUCGGGUUGUAAAGUACUUUCAGCGAGGAGGAAGGCUUAAGGUUAAUAACCUUGYGAUUGACGUUACUCGCAGAAGAAGCACCGGCUAACUCCGUGCCASCAGCCGCGGUAAUACGGAGGGUGCAAGCGUUAAUCGGAAUUACUGGGCGUAAAGCGCACGCAGGCGGUCUGUCAAGUCGGAUGUGAAAUCCCCGGGCUCACCUGGGAACUGCAUUCGAAACUGGCAGGCUAGAGUCUUGUAGAGGGGGGUAGAAUUCCAGGUGUAGCGGUGAAAUGCGUAGAGAUCUGGAGGAAUACCGGUGGCGAAGGCGGCCCCCUGGACAAAGACUGCGCUCAGGUGCGAAAGCGUGGGGAGCAACAGGAUUAGAUACCCUGGUAGUCCACGCCGUAAACGAUGUCGACUUGGAGGUUGUGCCCUUGAGGCGUGCU
RNAcentral lists this ribosomal RNA (812 nucleotides) under Klebsiella aerogenes. RNAcentral describes it as "bacterial SSU rRNA". It matches the Rfam family "Bacterial small subunit ribosomal RNA", at positions 31 to 843 of the family's 1533-position model. The record is from RNAcentral. Lineage: Bacteria; Pseudomonadati; Pseudomonadota; Gammaproteobacteria; Enterobacterales; Enterobacteriaceae.